RNAcentral lists this transfer RNA (71 nucleotides) under Streptomyces coryli. It matches the Rfam family "tRNA". From Rfam's summary of the family: Transfer RNA (tRNA) molecules are approximately 80 nucleotides in length. The record is from Rfam by way of RNAcentral. Lineage: Bacteria; Bacillati; Actinomycetota; Actinomycetes; Kitasatosporales; Streptomycetaceae.
GGGGAUGAAGUGUUACGGCAGCACAGCGGAUUCCAGACCCGCGGGCCGGGGUUCGACUCCUCGCAUCCCUG